GUUUUGACUUUUCAUCUUAUUUGAAAUUUUUUUAUGAUUAAUAUUUUUAUUGUUACUAGAUGAUAAAAUAUAAAUAGGACUUUAUGCGUGACUAAUUUUUAAGGUUUUUUAUAAUUUUUUAAUAAGACGAAUGGUCAAAAC
Molecule: microRNA precursor, 141 nt
Filed under: Oryza brachyantha (malo sina)
Lineage: Eukaryota; Viridiplantae; Streptophyta; Magnoliopsida; Poales; Poaceae
Description: MIR812 microRNA precursor family
Rfam family: MIR812 microRNA precursor family
Source: Rfam by way of RNAcentral